AUACCCCAUGUUUCCCCAUCACUCGAGGAGUCUGGGCAGAGACUGGACUACACCGUGGGAGAAUCUGCAAAGGUGUUGCUGGAACAGACAUAUUUCUAGUUGUAUGAGGUGGCCUGGACAUUACUCUCGAGCUCCUUACCCAUACUUCAGUAGUAGGCAUUUUUCACUAAAUUGGAGACCACCCUGUUUGUUUGAGUCUAGAACUCAGUUCCAGUACUGUAACUGGAGACCUGACAACCUGAGCCAGACAUCUUUGAUUCAUCUCUCUAGUUACGUCAUGAACGCUGAGGGAGAUGAGCCUUCAUCAAAACGAAGAAAACACCAAGGUGUGAUAAAGCGGAAUUGGGAAUAUAUAUGUAGCCAUGAUAAAGAAAAAACGAAGAUCCUAGGAGACAAAAAUGUUGAUCCCAAAUGUGAAGACAGUGAGAACAAGUUUGACUUUUCAGUGAUGUCCUAUAAUAUACUUUCACAAGAUUUACUGGAAGAUAACUCUCACCUUUAUAGACAUUGCCGGCGGCCAGUAUUACACUGGAGUUUUAGGUUUCCCAAUAUUCUGAAAGAAAUUAAACAUUUUGAUGCAGACGUACUUUGUUUGCAAGAAGUUCAAGAAGAUCAUUAUGGAGCAGAGAUCAGGCCAAGUUUGGAAUCACUGGGUACAAUGCAACUCUUUUUUUUUUUUUUUUUCUUUUUUGAGACAGGGUCUCACUCUGUCGCCCCACUGGAGUGCAGUGGCACAAUCAUGGCUUACUACAGCCUCAACCUACUGGGCUCAAGUAAUCCUCUCAUUUCGGCUUCCUGAGUAGCUGGGACUAGAGAUGUGUGCCACCAUGCCCAGCCAAUUAUUUAAUUUUUUUUAUAGAGACAAGGCAAUGUAACUUUUAGCCAAAUUUACUUUUGAAAAUUCAUGUGUCAUUAAAGUAUAACUUGCUGACAAAGAUGUGUGGCAUAUUUUGGCUAAAAAUCUUAAUUUUAAAAACUUAAUUUCAAAGAGGAAAAGAUUGAGGUACUCACUGGAAACUUUUGUGUUGGUGUAUAAUUUUAAUUCAAACAGAAAGAUGUGUAAGAAUAUCUUAGUAGCUCCCUUUCCUAGGAGUUGUUCUGUCCACCUGUAGACCUAUAAGCUUCUGAGCUCCAGGAGACCAUUUUGUCUCGUUCAUCAUUAUAAUACCAGUGCCUGCCAGUGUCUACCUAAUGGGUAGAUGCCAAAAACCUGCUUGAUAAAUAAACACUCCUAGAAACAAGUUA
Molecule: small RNA, 1245 nt
Filed under: Pan troglodytes (chimpanzee)
Lineage: Eukaryota; Metazoa; Chordata; Mammalia; Primates; Hominidae
Description: processed transcript
Source: RNAcentral